GACGAACGCUGGCGGCGUGCUUAACACAUGCAAGUCGAACGGAAAGGCCCUGCUUUUGUGGGGUGCUCGAGUGGCGAACGGGUGAGUAACACGUGAGUAACCUGCCCUUGACUUUGGGAUAACUUCAGGAAACUGGGGCUAAUACCGGAUAGGAGCUCCUGCUGCAUGGUGGGGGUUGGAAAGGUUCGGCGGUUGGGGAUGGACUCGCGGCUUAUCAGCUUGUUGGUGGGGUAGUGGCUUACCAAGGCUUUGACGGGUAGCCGGCCUGAGAGGGUGACCGGCCACAUUGGGACUGAGAUACGGCCCAGACUCCUACGGGAGGCAGCAGUGGGGAAUAUUGCACAAUGGGCGGAAGCCUGAUGCAGCAACGCCGCGUGCGGGAUGACGGCCUUCGGGUUGUAAACCGCUUUCGCCUGUGACGAAGCGUGAGUGACGGUAAUGGGUAAAGGAGCACCGGCUAACUACGUG
RNAcentral lists this ribosomal RNA (468 nucleotides) under uncultured bacterium. RNAcentral describes it as "partial 16S ribosomal RNA". It matches the Rfam family "Bacterial small subunit ribosomal RNA", at positions 28 to 507 of the family's 1533-position model. The record is from RNAcentral.